RNAcentral lists this transfer RNA (73 nucleotides) under Actinomycetota bacterium. RNAcentral's name for it is "tRNA-Leu". It matches the Rfam family "tRNA". From Rfam's summary of the family: Transfer RNA (tRNA) molecules are approximately 80 nucleotides in length. Their secondary structure includes four short double-helical elements and three loops (D, anti-codon, and T loops). The record is from RNAcentral. Lineage: Bacteria; Bacillati; Actinomycetota.
GCCCCCGUACCCCAACGGCAGAGGGAGUCCCCUUAAAAGGGACCCAGUGUGGGUUCGAGUCCCACCGGGGGCA